RNAcentral lists this ribosomal RNA (465 nucleotides) under Streptococcus intermedius. Its description in RNAcentral is "bacterial SSU rRNA". It matches the Rfam family "Bacterial small subunit ribosomal RNA", at positions 28 to 469 of the family's 1533-position model. The record is from RNAcentral. Lineage: Bacteria; Bacillati; Bacillota; Bacilli; Lactobacillales; Streptococcaceae.
GACGAACGCUGGCGGCGUGCCUAAUACAUGCAAGUAGAACGCACAGAAUGCACCGUAGUUUACUACACCGUAUUCUGUGAGUUGCGAACGGGUGAGUAACGCGUAGGUAACCUGCCUGGUAGCGGGGGAUAACUAUUGGAAACGACAGCUAAUACCGCAUAAGAACAUUUACCGCAUGGUAGAUGUUUAAAAGGUGCAAAUGCAUCACUACCAGAUGGACCUGCGUUGUAUUAGCUAGUAGGUGAGGUAACGGCUCACCUAGGCGACGAUACAUAGCCGACCUGAGAGGGUGAUCGGCCACACUGGGACUGAGACACGGCCCAGACUCCUACGGGAGGCAGCAGUAGGGAAUCUUCGGCAAUGGGGGGAACCCUGACCGAGCAACGCCGCGUGAGUGAAGAAGGUUUUCGGAUCGUAAAGCUCUGUUGUUAAGGAAGAACGAGUGUGAGAAUGGAAAGUUCAUAC